AUAAAGGUCAAGCGCUGGCAAUCUUCUUCAAUAUUCUUUUGGAGAUAGAGCGUCUUGUUUGACUGGUUAUGGGCCCUGGUUAAAAACUUGGCACUGAGCUUC
This 102-nucleotide small nucleolar RNA is filed under the name Drosophila melanogaster (fruit fly). Its description in RNAcentral is "partial small nucleolar RNA snoR461". The record is from RNAcentral. Lineage: Eukaryota; Metazoa; Arthropoda; Insecta; Diptera; Drosophilidae.